UGCAUGGAUUUUGUGGAGCGGUAAAUGUCUUUCACUAACAAACUCAAACCUAAACCAUUCUUACCGUUUAUGUUGGGUUUCCAGACAUUCCAUACUAUGACUGUUUAGGAGUCUAUGACACUCCCCAGAGCCGUUUGCACCUGACCCUGCUCACCUGCCUGUUCCUGCUUCUGUCUGCGCUGGGUCUAGCACUGUACUGCACGGACCGCCGGAGACCCCAGCGUGCCUGCGAAGAGCUGCAGACGGCACUGGCUGUGUACCUGCUUCAGUUCAAACAGAUCGUCUGGGCCUGCUGGAUCUGGCUGACCAUGCAAUGACCAUAACUGACCACACGGGCCAGCAACAGUCAGGAAAAAAAAAAAAAAAACAUAAAAGGUCAGGAUGUUUUUUGAAUGACUGUGGAGGAAAUUGAAGAUAAAGAAUGGUCCUCUUGUUUUUUAUUGCUUUAUUUUCACUGUUAUAAUCAGACUGGCCACCAGUCAAAUUUUCUGAGGAUGUUCAACAUCCACCUCUUUUAUUUUGUGGCUGAUUAAAGGCCAUGUGCUUUACACACCAUUAAGGUAUGGUGUGCCUUUUUGCCCUUUAUGGUGGCAUAGCUAAUGCCACAUCCUCAUUAUACUGAGCCGUGUAUAUUUAGAUCUCUGUAUGUAGCUGUUUUUCCUCGUAUAGCGGUUCUGGGUGAUAUGUUUUAAAGGAAUAGUUCACCAAAAAUGAAAAUUUGCUGAACAUUUACUCAUCCUCAGGCCAUCCGAUAUGUAGAUGAGUUUGUUUCUAUAUCGGAACAGAUUUGUAUAAAUUUAGCAUUACAUCACUUGCUCACCAGUGGAUCCUCUGUAGUAAAUGGGUGCCAUCAGAUUAUCAGACCCAAAAUCAGUCUGGCUUUACAGAUUGUGCACACUGUAUUCUCUAUGAACCAAUGUAUCACAUUUUAAUGUCCAAAACUACUUCAUUUAUUCAAUGCUUUUAUUUUUAAUGCACUUGCUGUACAUAAUGUGGUUGAAUGUAUCUGUGGAAUGCAAGACAAUGCUAUUUAUUUAACUAAUAAUCAAAUAGGUUUAGAAUACAAAUAUGCGUUUUAUGCAUUAAUCAAACAUGUAAAUGACACUAAUUAUUGUAUAGAAUAUAUUUCAAUGUAAAUGAGAAAAGAGAACUGGCACAAUUGACGACACCUUUAGCAUUUAUCUACUUUACAAGAAACGAAGGGCAAAGCUGUUCUGUUAAGCACAAACAUUUCCAUCUGCCAUUAAUUCUCUCAGAAAGAGAUAUAAGACUGUUGAAGGAUGAAUUGGCCAUAUAUUGUGUCAUGCACUGCUAGAUUCAACUGGCAAAUGAAAGAAUGCCAUUUUAAAUAGCUGAACGCUUUAUGAUACUCGCACUAUUUAAGUUUCUAUUUUACAUAAACCUUUACCAGCAUCUUGGCUUAAGCCUAAUAAUGGUGCAUUCAUUUGUUUUACUAUGUUUUAUAAGAAGUUUCUUUUUCUAUCUUUUUUUACUGUUCCACUCAAGUUUUACAUGUUUAGUCUCUUAAUCUUUCUUUAUAGAAACAGCUGUUCAGUAUCUAUUUUUCUAGUUUUUGGGCAAGCAUUUUCUAUCACAUUCUAUGAGCCUUUGGUUUCUAGUGUCAAAAUUGCUUAUUUUCCAUUAGCACACAAGUUAACAAUGCAUUGCUUGAAUUAAAGACAGUACACCCAAAAUUGAAAACUCUGUCAUCGUGAAGAGAUAUUAUACACACACA
This is a long non-coding RNA of Cyprinus carpio carpio, 1735 nucleotides long. Lineage: Eukaryota; Metazoa; Chordata; Actinopteri; Cypriniformes; Cyprinidae. The record is from Ensembl.